This is a long non-coding RNA of Camelina sativa (false flax), 2900 nucleotides long. RefSeq lists it as uncharacterized. NCBI's taxonomy places the organism in Eukaryota, Viridiplantae, Streptophyta, Magnoliopsida, Brassicales, Brassicaceae. The record is from RefSeq and is a predicted model, not a curated record.
CAAAAAAAAAGGAAAAAGAACAAGUACAGUUCCGACAUCUCUCGAGAGUCCUACGAAACCUAGUUACACGAUUCUUUCCCAUUCUUUCUGAUUCCGAAUUCGAUAAACACAUUUUUCAACUCGGCAAAUCCCAGCUCGAGUUCUUCUUUAAUUGAUUUAGUAUUUGAUGUCUCUUGAUUUUGGGAUGCCUCAGAUGAACAAGUACGGUGGUUCCAUCAAGUGGUCAUUUUGAUAUCCAAUACAACAGACCACCGAGUGUGCAUUCUAUUUGUUUAUCAAUGGGGGAAAAUGUGAUCAAAAGGGUCGCCUACACAAAGAAGGCAGGUGAGAAUGUGACAUAGAUGCCAAUGUAGAAUUGAAUUGAUGUUAGAUGGGAAUGCCUAAAACGUGCAAAGGCUUAAAUCUUUCUACACAACAUGGAGAAUCUUUACUUGGAUGCGUGAGCUUGUUUUGGAAGGGUCUUUAAGGUUUGAUAAGAAGAAAUCUACAUACGUUCUUUAGAAUAAGUAAUAUUUAGUUACAUUAUCGGAAUUUUGCCCCCAAUAAAAAGAUACAUUAUCGGAAUAUGCUCUAAGAAACUGAUUAGAAUAUCAGGGGAAUCUAGUAUAUAAUGUAGUGAUGCAGAGAAACUGCAACUGAAUCGAAUACUUGAAAAUCAAACACAAAUUGAAUCGUCCUUCUUGAAACGAGAAUUUAAAUCUCACAAGCCUUAGAUAGAAGAAUAGAAGAAACAGCUCCAGCAAGAUGAGUACAACACGAUGAUCACAGAUUUAAGAAACUAAAAAGAAACUAUAACAAACUCAACACAAAUCUCAUGAAUGAUCCAGUUUAGCCCUCCACCCUCCACGUGUUCAUCUUUCUUAACCCUCUUUUUCCUAUAUCAAAUAGAAACCUUGACCUGUAGAGAAGGGAACUACCUGAUUUGCAAGGAACAAGUAUUGUAUACUCCAUUAGCAGUUGGCUUCUCAGCUUUGUAUAACCAACCCCAUACUCAUAAGACUGAUCAGUCUUUAAGGUAUGAAACUGUGGUGCAUAGUUAGGGACGAGCACAAGAUUUUCCAAAUAUAAUUCCAGCAGUUGGCAAGAGUUUAAAUUGCCUCUUGUGCUUGAUUUGGUACCCCGCAUUAUCAAGUAGAAACUGUUGUAUUAGCAAUGCAUCACAAUCUUUAGGACUUCCCAACUUGACCGCAGAAAAUGGAGGGUGGUUCACAUAUCACAACCUGCUCCACUAUGAAGAAACUCUUUAGUUCUUUUUGUGUCAAUUGACACAUUCUGAUCACAUAUAUUUGCAUGCUAAUAUCUGAGCUGUAUCUCCACUGUAGAGUAGAUCUUCUAUUUUCUUUUAGACCCAACCCAUUGUAACCUUGCUUUGGGCAGUCCCACUGAUUUGCUUUAGCUGAUAAUCCACCUGGUUCCCAUACACGCCUAACCUGAGAUUUUGUCAACAAUUGCUGACAUUUCACUCUGAUAAUGAGACACGUGUUGAAUUUGAUUUCUCAUAUGGAUUCGAUUUUGUGGCACAUAUUGCUUCUUGUUGCUGCAACAUUAUCUUGACACCAUCAUAAGAUUCUUGCUGAGCUGAUUAAUUCCCAUUCGAUAAGUCCUUAUCUAUAUGCGGAGCUCUUUUAUGAAACAGUUCUGUGACUUUCUCACCUUCAGUACUUAUUUGACCGGAUUGAUGUUUAGCUUUGUGAACACAUCUCAUGGAAGGUUGGACUUGAUCUUCCCUCAUCUAGUUAAGCUUUAGGGUCUUCACAUCUCUGACAGAGCCUUGCCUAAUACCCAUAAGAAAAACCUUUUUAUGCCCUACACGGAACUGCAUUUCUAGCUUCUUAAAAUUACAAGUUAUUGGCCCCAAUGUCUCCAACCACUGACCGCUUAAUACCAUAUCACACCCACCCAAGUGAAUUACCAUAAGAUUAGCCUGAAAUUGUGUCCUCUAAAUUCCCAUUGAAGCUUAUCUAUUUUAGCAUCAACCCCCAACAUUAUCCCAUCAGCUACUGAAACUCGAGCCAAACUUGCAGGUUUGAAAACACAUGUCAACUUCUCAGCUACCUUGGGAUCCAUGAGGUUGUGUGUAGAACCCGAGUCAAUGAGAAUAUACAAUACUUGCUUCCCAUAAGAACCCUUCACUCUCAUCAUUCGAUUAUCAAAGACUCCUGAAAUUGCAUUAACAGAAAUAUGAGCUAUAACAUCGGUAUCCUCCAAUGCAACCUUGUCCUCAUGUACUCCAUCUUUAGGUUUCUCCAUAGUAGGAAGAAAAACUGUUUUAUGAUCAUGCUCUGGUUUGGAUGAUAAAAUCCCUUAAGAUUGAAUGCUACUUCUACUCCGUUAAGCACCAGACUAAUUGCUAAAAUCCUUGGCUUCACUUGAAACAUGUAAAGGCUGAGCUUCCUUCGGAAAAUCAUCACUCUCUUUUUUGGUAACCACUCUUGUCGUAUGAGCAGUCUCAUAUAACCUUCCUAUCAUUAAACACUGCCUAAUAAUUUUCUGAGGUUGAAUCAUCCUAACAUUCGUUUUGAGUAUCACUUCUCAGCCUUUCCCAAGUAAACACUAACCAAGUACGAUUCAGAUAGAUCCACAGGAGAGACUUAAUCAACUCAAAUGUUUCAUGAUACUCCCUCAAUUCCUUCUUUUUCAGCUCUGCAAUCGAAUCCUCCACCAGCUUAAAAUAUUUUCCUUGCAACAGCAUUUCGUAAAUCCCCCAAUUGUACCUAACAUGCUCCCUAUUUAAUUGAAUUUAAAUCAAAUUUAGAUUACAGAAUAAUAGAGAUAUUUUAAGAAAUAUAUAUAUUUAAAAAUUAAUUGAAACUUGAUAAAUGAGAUAAAAGCCUCAUUUUAAAGAUUAUAUUAUAUUUUGAACAAAAUCUAAUAUUUUGGGGGGAAAAAUAUAACAAUCU